This 253-nucleotide ribosomal RNA is filed under the name uncultured bacterium. RNAcentral describes it as "partial 16S ribosomal RNA". It matches the Rfam family "Bacterial small subunit ribosomal RNA", at positions 524 to 776 of the family's 1533-position model. The record is from RNAcentral.
UACGGGGGGGGCAAGCGUUGUUCGGAAUUACUGGGCGUAAAGGGCUCGUAGGUGGCCAACUAAGUCAGACGUGAAAUCCCUCAGCUUAACUGGGGAACUGCGUCUGAAACUGAUGAGCUUGAGUGCAGGAGAGGAACGCGGAAUUCCAGGUGUAGCGGUGAAAUGCGUAGAUAUCUGGAGGAACACCGGUGGCGAAGGCGGCGUUCUGGACUGCAACUGACACUGUAAAACGAAAGCCAGGGGAGCAAACGGG